RNAcentral lists this ribosomal RNA (489 nucleotides) under uncultured bacterium. Its description in RNAcentral is "bacterial SSU rRNA". It matches the Rfam family "Bacterial small subunit ribosomal RNA", at positions 15 to 507 of the family's 1533-position model. The record is from RNAcentral.
GAUCCUGGCUCAGAUUGAACGCUGGUGGCAUGCUUAACACAUGCAAGUCGAACGGUAACAGGUCUUCGGAUGCUGACGAGUGGCGGACGGGUGAGUAACGCGUAGGAAUCUGCCCAUUUGAGGGGGAUACCAGUUGGAAACGACUGUUAAUACCGCAUAAUAUCUGUGGAUUAAAGGUGGCUUAGGCUGCCGCAGAUGGAUGAGCCUGCGUUGGAUUAGCUAGUUGGUGGGGUAAGGGCCUACCAAGGCUACGAUCCAUAGCUGAUUUGAGAGGAUGAUCAGCCACAUUGGGGCUGAGACACGGCCCAAACUCCUACGGGAGGCAGCAGUGGGGAAUAUUGGACAAUGGGGGAAACCCUGAUCCAGCAAUGCCAUGUGUGUGAAGAAGGCUCUAGGGUUGUAAAGCACUUUAGUUGGGGAGGAAAGCCUAUGAGUUAAUAGCUUGUAGGAAGGACGUUACCCAAAGAAUAAGGACCGGCUAACUCCGUG